UACGUAGGGGGCAAGCGUUGUCCGGAAUUACUGGGCGUAAAGAGCUCGUAGGUGGUUUGUCGCGUUGUUCGUGAAAACUCACAGCUUAACUGUGGGCGUGCGGGCGAUACGGGCAGACUGGAGUACUGCAGGGGAGACUGGAAUUCCUGGUGUAGCGGUGGAAUGCGCAGAUAUCAGGAGGAACACCGGUGGCGAAGGCGCACAUCUGGCCCGAUACUGACGCUGAGGCGCGAAAGCUAGGGGAGCAAACGGG
RNAcentral lists this ribosomal RNA (253 nucleotides) under uncultured bacterium. RNAcentral's name for it is "partial 16S ribosomal RNA". It matches the Rfam family "Bacterial small subunit ribosomal RNA", at positions 524 to 776 of the family's 1533-position model. The record is from RNAcentral.